This is a long non-coding RNA of Mus musculus (house mouse), 4798 nucleotides long. RefSeq annotates it as RIKEN cDNA 2610027F03 gene. The record is from RefSeq and is marked validated. The transcript has 5 exons. Lineage: Eukaryota; Metazoa; Chordata; Mammalia; Rodentia; Muridae.
UUCAUCUCCCAUGUGCUGAGAUUUCAAGCGUCUAGGACCAUGUCCAGUCUUUAUACACAAGUUCUGUGGGUAGAACUCAAGUCUUCAUGUUUGCUUGACAAGAACUGUAUUGAUUAUGUCAGCUCCUCAACCCUUUAAUCAGUUUUAUUAAGUAUUUGUUUUACCAUCCCCACUAGGGGAUGGUAAAAUUGUCUGAGGGGCCUUUGAGUUCUAUGAACAGUUUUUUGAUCAACAGCUGCUUGUAGCAAAAAUCUUUCAGAGUUAGUGUAAAAUCUCUGUCCUCACUGUUGGCUUAGUUCAUCCAUAAUGACGCUCUGGCCAUUAAAAACAUCAUUUAAAUUAAUUUCCUGGCCAAUAGAAUGGGAGUCCCUGGAAUUUGAGCUAUGUAUGUUGCCUGGACCACGUUAGGGCUGAGGCAACUGGACCAGGCAUGGCCUAGGGUACAAAGAGGUGGUGAUUAAUUUAGGGGUCAAGUGUUUAAACAUCUGUCGCCUGUAGACUGCUUGCUUCAGUUCAGACACCUCUGCUUUGGAAGAAGGAGCCGGGAGGCCCCCUGCUGCCCUUAUUUCCAGCCCAGUUGCCUGGUGCUCUGUCCCUCAGCUUCUCUGAGAUACCAGCCCUAGGGAGACUGUGCACUGCAGUUUGUACCACCCUGUGGUGACUUUAUGCUAUGACAUAUGCUCCCUCCACUAGCCUUUCUAUUAUAUGAGUGUCAUCCCUCUCUACUGCUUGUUCCAAGGGCCAUGAUUUAGCUUCUUUCCUAUCUCUAGACACUUUGGAGGGGCUCAGCCAAUCCCGAGGUGGGUUUCCAUGUCUUUAAGGACCCGAGAAUCACCUGUGCCGGACUUUCACUGUCACCAUGGUUUCUGCAAAGCUGAUUAGUAAGGAAUUAACCAGCACCAGACCAACCCAGAAUGGGGGACUUCAGACGUGGCUCAGACGUAAGACCACUGGCUGUGUGAGAGUGAGGACCUGUGUUCCCAUCCCCAGCAUGUAUGUAAAGAGCCGAGUGAGGCUGUGUAGGUGCCUGUAACCUUGGUUUUGUGCUGAAUGGAGGUAUGAGGAUCACUGGGGCCGGCUGCCAGCUUAGCUCCUGGAUCUGUGAGAUAUUCUGGUUCAGGGUCAUAGAACAGGAUCUGUAGUUGUCCCUUCUGGCCUCUGCAUUCAUAUACCUGCAUACACAGGAACUAGACAUACAUACUCCACAUAGAUAGAGCACAUACACACUAAUAAAAUAAGCAAACUCCUCAAAACCCAGAGCACGCUCUAGCCUAAGCUCAGGGCAGCACCCCAAGUUCAACACCCACAAGAGGCUGGUGCUGAGAAAGGAAAGUGGAUGGCCUCUGAUGCCCACAGAAGUGUUUGCUUUUUCUCUCGCUCCACAGAUCUCUCAAAUGUUCUUUUUCCACACUGUACCCCCACCCCCAAUUUUAUACAUAGCAGAUGGUGUUCAAACAAGUCAAGGAGCAGAAGCUGCAAAAGGCUUAAAAGAAAAAAAAAAGACAGUGAAACUCAUAUAUUUCUUCAAACGAUAAGAUGAACUACAGAUGUUUGAGGACUGGAGAUGGUGCCGCCUGCGACUGCAGCCCCACUUAAAAGAAGAGUCCCUUAUGUUUAACGUUGGACAAGCCCGGUAGCUGUCACGGCAUGAUUUACGGAGGUUGUUUGUGAGAUUUUAUGUUACUGGGGACCUGGCAAUGAAAACCUCAUUCCUUCUGCCCAUAGGCAUUAUCUCCUGGAGUCCAUGGUGGACUCGUGGGGGUGAACUUGGCGCUUUACAGCCAGUCUGUGGUCCUCUGGCUUCCUGCGUUCUGACCAAUGCUUCCCUUCCACCCUGGAUACUAGAACUGACCCCUCUGUGGGGAUCUGGGUCCUUGGAAGCGUCCUGUUCCUACCUGAUACCUGCAAUCAGAUUACUCUCAAAUUAAGCUUGACAAAGUUGUUAAAGGCGAAACAGUUGUGUGGCAGAAUCCAGCUGCAUAUAGGAAACAGCUGCCUUCAAGGCUUUCUCCCCUUCUUCUUUUUAAGGAAGGAAAGCAUCUCCAUAGAAUGUUUAAAAUGUGAACAUAAAGGUUAUCUUAGAAAGGCCAGCAGAGCCUGUGAUCAGAGAGUGCCAUGGCUCUAGUAAAAGCUUCUUUUGGGGUGACUUCUUAGUCAUAAAUAUCUAUUACCCACUGAAGCCAGGAACCCAAGACCUUCUCCAAAUGUAGAUUUCAUUCCCUGCCUGUGCCUCUAUCUAUCUUCUACAGUACAGAUUCAGGGCAGGAGACUCAGGUCAUCUAGCUUGGUGACUAGCAACUUCUGGGCCCCAAGGCUGGUCUUAAGGAUUCUGAAAACACUAUACCUUUUGGACAUCCAUGCCUAUCCCCAGAUACAGCUGUACACUCAGAUUUUUAGGCUUCUUAAAUCAUGUGCACAGAGCCCUUCCUGCAGGUGGCCAUGGAAUUGGUAUGAGUCCAGGCAGAGGCAGCGGGAGGAGCCCCCAGCCUUCUCUGGUCUCUGGAGCUGAAAUGUGUGCAGCCUUUGAAGUUACCACAACUCAGGUGCCAGCCUCUCGCAGCAGCCUAAGAGGAGGAAAUCUUUGCUUUUUCUAGCAAGGGAGCCAAUUCCUAGGGCGCUGGAUGUUUCCACUAAGCAAAUCCUCAGAAAGCUAUUUUCUAGAGGGUGAGGGGUGGGGGAGGGGUGCUGGAGUGCAGCGUGAAGGCAAGUUAGGUAGGAGGCAGCAUGCACAGGACACCAAGGACCACAGGAGGAAGCCAGGAAGAUAGUAAGGAGCCUUCAAAGUCAAUGCUGCUGGCCAGGCUGAGAUAGCUCAGCGGAUGAAAAGUGCUCAAUGCUCAACCCCAAGGACUGGAAUUCUAUCUUAGAACCUGGAACCGGUGUUUGGCAUCCAUUAUAUAAGCCCAGCCUCAUAGGGAGGGAAGGUAUCAGAAAUGUCAUGGAUAUGCAGUGCAGAGGCAGAAAUAAAGAGAGACCUGCCUCACUAACAUGGCAGAAGGGAAGAUGCUACUUCUGAAGAGUCAUCCUUUAACCCUCCCCCCCCCCCACACACACAGUGCACAUCAUGUACCCCUAAUCCUCAAAAUAAAUCAAUAAAAUAAUCUUAAAAUUUUCACAUCUCUGUGUUCAGAGGCAGGAGGAUGGGAGGACUUUCUCAAAUCUGAUCUGCUUUCAUGUUUAACACAGCCUUAACCCUUGGCUCUUCAUCUUGACCCUGGGUUUCUGGUGAGAAGGAGCCACAAAUCUAAGCCAGGAUGAUCUCAUGGAGUCUUUGUCCUCCCUUCCUCUGUAUUCACACAAAAGCCCACUGGGAAGCUCCUACAGCCACGUGAUUCCUGCUCAAAGGUUUAGAGUUAAAUGGGUCUCAGGUAGCCCUGGUAGACUUCGAACUCCCUAUGUAGCUGAACUCCAGAGGCUCCUGACUUCACUUCUGAAGUGUCAGGAUGUGAUGUGUGUGCAGCCACGCUCAGCUUGUGCAGAGCCAUGGGUGGAACAGAUGGCUUUGUGGAUGCUCGCUCCAAAUGAUCUUGGGAGACGCUAUAUAGAAGCUGGAAGGUUAACUGAAUGGAGGACUCCAUGAUGCAGCUCCAUUGAGCUCAUCCAUCACUCAUGAUUGGAAAAGUUCAUACAAUUGACAUGUAGGAAGAACCAGGAACCCUGGUUACUGAUGGCUCGGGGAAAGAAGACUGAGAUACUGAUGGUGACACUACCCACUUCAAGUUUCUGGUCUGGGCAUCAUUGGGUGCAACAGGUGGUUGGUGCUGGGGAUUUGAACUAUGACCUUAUGCUUUUGCUGCAAGUGCUCUUAUCCACCGAGUCAUCCUUCAAGUUAUUGUCCACAUACAUUGCAUGGAUCAAUCAGCAUAACUUUUGUAACACUCUGUAGAAUAAAUACUGUCUCACAGAGCCCUUUUUACAGAUGUGAGGAAAGAGGCACAGCGGGAUUAAGGAGCAUCCUGAAAGAUAAAUAGCUAUGAAGCUCUAGAUACCCAGUGAUCUCCACAUCAGUCUAUUGACAUAGUCUAUGGAAGGAAGUAGUGCAAUUCCUAGUUAAAAACAGCAACAACAACAACAUAGUCAUCUGGGGGUGUAGCUCAGUCCAGUAUAUAUGAAGUUCUGGGUUUAAUUUCUAGUACUGUAUAAACUAGACACGCAGGAAGGAGAAACAGGAGAUUCAGAAGUUCAAGGUCAUUGCCCCACAAAUAGCAAGUCUGAAGUUAGCCUGAGUGCCAUGAGAUUCUGUUUGGAAUAAAAUAAAACAAACAAGCAUACAUAAUCAUGAAGAAAGUGAUACUGAAAGCCUCCUCCACUAUCCCUGCCAUUAGCUAAACUUCCUCUGGGUUUAUCAGAGAGAUGUCCCUGCAGAGAGCAAAGGACAAUAGAGCAGCAAAUGGCUAUCUCUGAGGCUCGAGCCUGGCAGGUGGCUGAGGUUUCUCCGCUAAGCUGUAUCUCUAUGCCUGUCUCUUCUUGGUUUCUGUUUUGAAUUCUGCCUUGCUUACAUGGUGGUGUUGGGUGGCAGAAUUUGCCCUAAAAUUUUAUCUGGAGACAGUGUGGCUUCAUGUAACACAUACUGUGAAGAUAUCCUGUGUCUGGGGCAGAGAGACAGCUCAGCAGGUACAAGCACUUGAGGGAGGGUGGCCACCUAGGACCCAGGUAAAGGUGGAAGGGGAGAAACAACUUCACACAGUUGUCCUCUGGCCUCCAUAUGCACGUUGUGCCAUGCCUGUCACCAUGUCAUACACUCAUAUACAAAUAUAAUAAUAAAUAAGACUUUAAAAAUGUCCCGGUCCAAGUCCUG